Chelonia mydas (Green sea turtle) is the source of this 1765-nucleotide long non-coding RNA. RefSeq lists it as uncharacterized. The transcript has 3 exons. The record is from RefSeq and is a predicted model, not a curated record. Lineage: Eukaryota; Metazoa; Chordata; Testudines; Cheloniidae.
GUGUGGCUGAGAGAGAGGGUGGCUGAGACUGCCAGAGACAGGAGACCCUGUAGUAAGCUGGGAAAGCUCAAGAAAUGGGAGACUGAGUGGAUCUGCGGUAGGUGGAAGAAGCAGCUAUGGGAAAGAAGUUUGGUUCCUGGAGAGCCCUAGCUAGAUAAAGCCUGUGACUGGGAGUUAAAGAAGGGAAGAUGAGCUGAAAAAUGUUUGUUUGGAUUUCUGUUUUUUGGUGAUUUUUUUUUGACAGGAAGAGAAGAAUUGCUGAAGAGUGAAUUAAAAGGAUUGAACUCAGAAGGUCACUGGAGACUGAGUUCUUGGAGUAUCUUGAAUGAAGGGGAAAUAGAGGUGGGAUGGCUACAGAGGCAACCGUAACCACUGGGGGCACUCAGGCUGCAGUAAUCAGUCACCAUGCUCUAAGGGUGCUGCUUACUCCGGAAGUUUCCACACUGUUGGUAUAUCAGCUGUUGCUGUCAUAACUUCUGGUAGGGAAAUGCCACUCCUGAAUACCCCGACAGCACCUCUGAUUACUCAUAGGAGAUACGAGGAAAUGUGGACUUUGAAGUGUCUUCCCCACCUUGCUCCCAUCACUGGCCACAAAAGCAGUGCAUGAGGACAGGAGGCAGGGCAAUCUGUUGCUGCAUUGGGUGGAAGUAUUGCAGCUCACCUCUUCCUCCCUUGCCAUCAGUGUCCACCUGAUGUGUCCCUGCUUGGAAUUUGAAGAUCCUAUACCGGGAGGGAACCUGACUGCUGAUCCUUUUCUCCUACGUGUCAAUGAAGUCCUGCUCUUUUGAUAUCUAGGGGUUGCCUGUUUCCCUACUUUACUCCUGUCCCUACCAACAAGAUGAGACGUCCUUAUCCAUCUAUUCUCCAAAUCCCUCACCUGGUCUUUCUAUGCUAGCCAGGGACCACCCACCCAGAUCAAGAACAAAAAGGAUCCAUCCCCCAACUGGCUCUCCAGCUCAACACUUAAAGGGACCUGCAUCCCAUGCAGCCAAUCAUCCACAGCCAGAUGCCCCGAGAAGUUUAUUUGCUGCUGCCAGUACUGACCCUAGGACAUGCAGCUACCAGGGCCUGCUAUUUUUUCAACCAGCUGAAGUCUGGUCAGUUGAGCUGCAGUCACUGAAUGGGCAUAUGAUGAUUAAACCUCUCAAGAUAAAAGCUGACCCACCUAGGCCAUGUCUACGCUAGCGAGCUUACAGCGGCACAGCUGUACUGAUCCAGCUGCACCACUGUCAGAGCUCUCAUACGGUCACUCUGUGCCAACGGGAGAGAGUGCUCCCAUCGACAUAAUUAAACCACCCCCAACGAGUGGUAUCAGCAGGAGAAGUUCCACCACUGACAUAGCGCUGUGCAGACUACCACUUACACCGAUGGAACUGAUGUCGCUCAGGGGGUGGAAUAUACACUUCUGUGAGCAACGUACGUUUUGCCAACAUAAGUGAUAAUGUAGACAUGGCCUUAGUCCCUCUAAGAAAUGUGAAGGGUGGCACCACCUACCCAGAACUCCAUGCUUGCUUUAUGGUGUGGAUGAAAGAAAAUGGGAGAGAGAAGUCAUCUUGCGUAGAUGCUAUUUAUUGGUAGCAGCACUUUGGGUCACUACAUAAAAACACUGAUUCAAAUCGAGCCAGAGAGAGACUUGAUUUAAAGGUUUAAUCUUGUAGAGCCAGCAUCCUUUUGAACAGAUCCACGUUCGUGGUAUCUCCUCCAAAGCAUCAGCACUAGAGUUAGUCAACACAAAAAAGUUACAGGUCUGAGUGGGCUUAAAAGU